GACGUAGGAUGCAAGCGUUGUCCGGAUUUAUUGGGCGUAAAGAGUUCGUAGGUGGUUUGCUAAGUCUGAUGUUAAAUACUGGAGCUCAACUUCGGGACUGCAUUGGAUACUGGCAGACUUGAGUGUGGUAGAGGCAAUCGGAAUUCCAGGUGUAGCGGUGAAAUGCGUAGAUAUCUGGAGGAACACCGGUGGCGAAGGCGGUUCUCUGGGCAUGUCCUGACGCUGAGGAGCGAAAGUGUGGGGAGCGAACAGG
This 253-nucleotide ribosomal RNA is filed under the name uncultured bacterium. RNAcentral describes it as "partial 16S ribosomal RNA". It matches the Rfam family "Bacterial small subunit ribosomal RNA", at positions 524 to 776 of the family's 1533-position model. The record is from RNAcentral.